Molecule: ribosomal RNA, 655 nt
Filed under: uncultured bacterium
Lineage: Bacteria
Description: bacterial SSU rRNA
Rfam family: Bacterial small subunit ribosomal RNA
Source: RNAcentral
AUUAGAGUUUGAUCAUGGCUCAGAUUGAACGCUGGCGGAAUGCUUUACACAUGCAAGUCGAACGGCAGCACGGGAGCUUGCUCCUGGUGGCGAGUGGCGAACGGGUGAGUAAUAUAUCGGAACGUAUCCAAUAAUGGGGGAUAACGAGUCGAAAGAUUCGCUAAUACCGCAUACGCCCUGAGGGGGAAAGCUGGGGAUCUUCGGACCUAGCGUUAAUGGAGCGGCCGAUAUCGGAUUAGCUAGUUGGUGGGGUAAAGGCCUACCAAGGCGACGAUCCGUAGCUGGUCUGAGAGGACGACCAGCCACACUGGAACUGAGACACGGUCCAGACUCCUACGGGAGGCAGCAGUGGGGAAUUUUGGACAAUGGGCGCAAGCCUGAUCCAGCCAUUCCGCGUGAGUGAGGAAGGCCUUCGGGUUGUAAAGCUCUUUCGCAAGGGAAGAAACGAUUUAGGUGAAUAAUCUAAGUUAAUGACGGUACCUUGAUAAGAAGCACCGGCUAACUACGUGCCAGCAGCCGCGGUAAUACGUAGGGUGCGAGCGUUAAUCGGAAUUACUGGGCGUAAAGCGUGCGCAGGCUGUUUUGUAAGUCAGAUGUGAAAUCCCUGGGCUCAACCUAGGAACUGCGUUUGAAACUACAAGACUAGAAUAUGUCA